This 79-nucleotide microRNA precursor is filed under the name Medicago truncatula (barrel medic). RNAcentral describes it as "MIR5269 microRNA precursor family". It matches the Rfam family "MIR5269 microRNA precursor family". Lineage: Eukaryota; Viridiplantae; Streptophyta; Magnoliopsida; Fabales; Fabaceae. The record is from Rfam by way of RNAcentral.
UUGGUUUAAAUUAUUGUGUGUCUAUACUUAGAAAAUUGAACUCACACAAAGUAGUAGGACAUACAUUGAUUGCAUCAAA